RNAcentral lists this ribosomal RNA (253 nucleotides) under uncultured bacterium. RNAcentral's name for it is "partial 16S ribosomal RNA". It matches the Rfam family "Bacterial small subunit ribosomal RNA", at positions 524 to 776 of the family's 1533-position model. The record is from RNAcentral.
GACGAAGGGGGCUAGCGUUGUUCGGAAUUACUGGGCGUAAAGGGCGCGUAGGCGGUCUGGUAAGUUGGGAGUGAAAGCCCGGGGCUUAACCUCGGAAUUGCUUUCAAAACUGCCGGACUAGAGUGUAGUAGGGGAUGAUGGAAUUCCUAGUGUAGAGGUGAAAUUCUUAGAUAUUAGGAGGAACACCGGUGGCGAAGGCGGUCAUCUGGGCUACAACUGACGCUGAGGCGCGAAAGCGUGGGGAGCGAACAGG